GAUGAUUUCUGCUCUGUAUAUGAUAAUAUCUCCAUUUUCUCUGCUAAAUGAGACUGGAAGAGGAGCUUCAAAUGAUUCAUAAAUCUUCGCACGCCGUUUAGGCGCUUGAAACACGGCUUCAGUCAUGGAGGACAGUGAAAGUGAAUGUGGAUGGUGGCUGCUGAGGUUCAAAAAUGACUUCUUUACCUACUCCAUGGUCCCAAAAGAAAGAAAGUCAAAUGGAUUUGGAACUACAUGAAGUGAAAAAAAGGCUCUUAAAAUGUUCUUACUCCAGACAUUUUGCCAUUACAAAUGGCAUUCAUGUGGUAACCAUUUAGACCAGUUAUAUUUAUGAAUCAGUGUCACUAAAAAAAGUUGUCAAUGUCAAGUUGUCAAAAGAUUUCACGAAAGCAAAAGCACAUUCAUAUAAUUUUUGACGGCGAUUACAAAAUCGAUUUGCAAAAACUAAAAUGGACUUUACUACACAAAUGCAAUCGGUUCGCAUUUAUGAGUGGAUUACCGCUCCAUCUUCAGUGUAAUUAUUGCUGAUGGCUCAUAUCAGGUCUGUGUACACAAUUUUCCACCCAUUCAAAAACACUCGAAGAUUUAACAAAGGUAUAUCAGCUGUAGGCUGAUUUUAAAUGAAAAAUGUAAAAAUAAAAUAAAAAGAAGAAU
Molecule: long non-coding RNA, 654 nt
Organism: Myxocyprinus asiaticus (Chinese sucker)
Lineage: Eukaryota; Metazoa; Chordata; Actinopteri; Cypriniformes; Catostomidae
Exons: 3
Source: RefSeq, a predicted model, not a curated record